CGCAGGCUGCUGUAGUCGGUUUCCUCAGUCGGUUGGGCGUCGUGAAGAAACACGGCGGAUAGCGUUAAACGUGAAAACUAGAAAACAAAAAGUUUUGUCCCAUUUGAAAGAAAUGAUAUUUUAGUCUGUCUCGGUCUCAUUUUGUUGUGUUUUAUAACGUAUUUUGGCCCUCGGCGCUGUUCGACAAACAAAGAAGGAGACCAGAGGAAAACAGCCUGUAAAAGCGCCAUAAACACGAUAUUAGCAGAACAAACAACCUGCAAAUCUGCUGUAAGAACUCUCUGCUCCGAAGUAAAUGUAAAGUUUUAAACAUAUUUACGUAAAAUCUCAACCUUAAUCCGAAAGAAAGCAAACAGGAAGCCCGCACUCUAGGCCUCACUUCUAGGCCGCUGCAGUGGAACAAACCGUCGUGUCUGAACUCAUUUAAGUGGCCUCGACGCUCCCAGUAAAGAGAUCAUAGGCAGAGACGAGGGAUUUCAAGGACGCGUGGACUUCAAUUUAAUCGAAGAGGCUGAGAGUGGAGUGGAAGAGUGACACACGGAGGAGAGAAGUUCAUUAUUCCGCUGAAAAGGAAACCAAUGGCUUUCACAGUCACCAUGGUUUGAGUGACAGUCCCUUCACCUUAAUGACUGAACUUAAGACGUGUUCACUGCCUCAGAUGGGCCCACAUUAGGAGAUGAUCCUCGGGGGGCUGCGUCCAAACAUGUGGUUUGGGCCUGAAAGACGUGCCAGACCUGCUGCCAAAGCUGAGCCUCCACCUCACCCUGCAGACAUGGCUGAACACACACAUACACACACACAGGCACGCACGCACACACACAAAUCACGCAUAUCUCUAAUAUGUGUUUUCGAGCAUGUAAGCAUACUUUAUAUCCUCAUGCAUCUGCUGCGCAUGAGUGCCUUAGACUGUUCAGUGUGCAGAGGCACACAAACACACACACACACACACACACACACAUACACAUACAUACAUACAUUCUUGCCACCUCUGCGUUCAGGUCUGAUGAUGGAGCCGUCACAGACUGUCAUGCCACGUGUCAGACUGAGACACGACCGAGCCACGUUCACACGCUCUUACUUGACACAAACAUAAACACACACACACACAUGCGUUCAGUUUGUCAGUUCUCUCUUGGGCCUAUUUUUAAAACCAUGAACACACCUACACACAUUCUCCCAUGCUAAGGGCACACCCACCAUGUCAUGCUACGCACAGGAUCAUCCUCGUCUGGUCCCGGAGAACACCUCUGCGUGGAUGCAAAGCGGUGCGGGGGGAGGGGGGAGGGAUUAGUCAGGGUGAAGUAAAUCUCGACACCUAACACUAGUGGUCUCUCUGUAAAAGUUGUUUGCACCCCCCAUAUUUAAUGGUACAGCACCUACUGAUUAUUGCAUGCUCUGAGCUAGUCUUGUAAUUGCACGGCACAUACCUGCCCAGGGUGUAAGCCCAUCCGCUGAACAUGGGGGCCCCUGUGUUAGAUGGCUGGCCUUAUUGUCUUAACAGAGAGGGAGCCUCCUAUCUGUCAUUCAACAUCAGUCAUUGUCAGUGUGCAUCCCCACACUGUGUCCCAUAGAAACGUGCAUAUGCUCAGUUUUUGUGCCUUAAUCAGCCAGUGUUUAUGAAAAGUGUUUAUGAUCUCAGAAGCUUAAGGUAUCACCCCUUCAGAAGUUAAGGCAGGACGGCCAUUUUAUCAUAUGAAUCAGAGCACACUUUUUAAAGCUGAGGUUGUUUUCUUGACAUCUGAGUGAGUCAGACUCUGUGUGCCUGUGUUCGGUUGAUGGUGACGUCUGUGGUUGUACAGUGCGCAGCCUGUCAUCACAGAGGCAUUGCAAAUAUCACAUCCAAGGGCUCUUUUGUAGUUAUUUUUGGGUGGUUCGUCUUGCCAGUAUCCGUCUCUCUCCUUAACUUUUAAUCAGAGGCGCUGCUUAUCUUUUUUGUCCCCUGAUUAUAUCAGCGAGCCAGUUUUGGGUCCCUUUGCUCUUGGUACAGUUGCAAAACUGAUCCAAAACACCCACUCUUACUUUAUGAGUGCUUGUGUAGUUGGUAAUUGUGUUGUCUGCGUAUCACAGCAUCAAGUUUUUGACUUUGAUGUAACCAUUAUGAAGGAUUUCUUACCGCCAACAACUUUGAUGGCUUGGUAAGAUGUUGAAUGUACCUUGAUGAAGAAGUGUUGGGAAAGGAGAAUCAGUUGUGUGUAUUGUUGAAAAAAAACAUGGAAAAAUUAGAUAAGAGGUCAGUGAAGUCAAACAAGCAAAGAGAUCAAACUAAUUUCAGACUAUGUACCUGCUCCUUCCUGGGAGAAGCAAACUGGAAUGAGGAGUGGCCACACAAGUUUGUCACACAAGCCCUGUGUGAAAACACACUGAUUGAAAUCAGGCGUAUUACAAUUAUAGGUAACGAACAGCAACAUACCAAUGCCGAAAUGCCAAGAAUUAUGUUUUAAAUAGCUUUUGUUUUCUCCACUUUGAAUGAAAGAAUAUAAUAAUAAUAUACUAUCUACUGCUUUAUUGUUUGCUUACUCAGUUUUGAAAGUAAGAAAUAUGUACAUUUUUUUAUUUUUAUGUUUACUGUUUAUUACAUAAGAUUUAUGGAAAAUGUCAUAAUCAAUAUCCGGAAUGAAGUUUUUACUGUACAAGAAUAAGGAAACAUGCUGAAAUGCUGCUUUCAUUUUCUAACUUUGUGCAGUUUAAAACAUAGAAAAGGAAAAACCCUCUAUGGUAUGUUCCUCAGUACUGGUAUUUAGACACAUAUUAAGAGAUUUAUAAAUAUAGGCGCAGAUUUGCAGAUUCGCUGAUUUGCUAACAGCUUACUUUUAAUAGACCAUUAAGAGGUUAGUGUGUAUGAUGGACUUACACAUUAAGAUUUUUUUUUAACGUGGUGUUGUGUUGGUUAGGAGGUGGUUGUUGUUGUUGUUAUUGAUAGCCACAGGCCUGUACCUCUUCCUGGGUGACAGUAAUAGGAGUUAAAACCUGUAAAUCUUCAGGAGACCUCCUUCCUCCCCUCUAAUUCCUCAUUACCUCACGGCAGGUUGUCUCAGGAGAGAUUUUGAAGGCCUGCAGGGCUGCUUCAGUGGAGAAGCAUGUUUCACUGAGUGAGUGUUAACCUAUGUGGUGAGUGUGUGGGACCGCAGAGAAGGACUGCGAAACAUGGCUUAAGGCCAGGUGUGUGACCACGGACCACAGGCAGGUAACGCUGUAUGGGGUUUCCAUCCUUGGUUAUGUGUAUAAGUGUGUGUGGUUUCAUGCUCCAGGGGGUAGAAGAAGCUGCCCUCUGACUAACCUUUUUCAAAAACCACAACCUAAAAUAAGAAGUAAGAAAACCUGUGAGGUUAAAAAAAAAAAAAACUUCAGAUCUCACUGCUCUGUCACAGGGCAAGUGUCCACUCUGUUAAUUCUGCCUACAUUUUUACAGACUAAUGAAAGGGCUCAGAGUUUGCUCAUCCUUUCUGUCCACAUCAGUGUAACACAACACCCAGCCCCUGCAAACUCAUCUGUCUAUUUAUCUACCUGGCUUGUCUGUGUCUUAACCUGUGUUUUUAAACAAACCAAUAAAAUCACUGUUGGUUCCCAGCACUGUUCAAACAAGAAUUUGUUUCAGACUUGGAACCUGCAGGGGAUCCUUGGAACCUCAUGUCAUCUGUUUACCAGCUCCCACCAGUGGUAAAAAGCAGUACUGUCACAGCCGAUCUGGGAGGUGAUUUGAUAGUGUUCAGUUUGUCUGUGUAAUGUAUUUAAUAUUUCAUAAGAGGAAGAUGUCUUGUUUUAUUGCUUCAAGUUAAGUACGUGCAGAGUAGUUUUCCAUUUACAUAUACCAGAGGCAAGGGUUUUGUUGCUACAAAGGAAUU
Long non-coding RNA from Lates calcarifer (barramundi perch), 3842 nucleotides. RefSeq lists it as uncharacterized. Lineage: Eukaryota; Metazoa; Chordata; Actinopteri; Centropomidae. The transcript has 4 exons. The record is from RefSeq and is a predicted model, not a curated record.